Small nuclear RNA from Prolemur simus (greater bamboo lemur), 107 nucleotides. The record is from Ensembl. NCBI's taxonomy places the organism in Eukaryota, Metazoa, Chordata, Mammalia, Primates, Lemuridae.
GUGCUCGCGUCAGCAGCACGUAUACUAGAAUUGGAACGAUACAGAGCAGAUUCGCAUGGCCCCUGCACAAGGAUGACACACAAAUUUGUGAAGUGCUCCGUAUCUUU